Molecule: ribosomal RNA, 253 nt
Filed under: uncultured bacterium
Lineage: Bacteria
Description: partial 16S ribosomal RNA
Rfam family: Bacterial small subunit ribosomal RNA
Source: RNAcentral
UACAGAGGGUGCGAGCGUUGUCCGGAAUUACUGGGCGUAAAGGGCUCGUAGGCGGCCAACUAAGUCGGACGUGAAAUCCCCAGGCUCAACCUGGGAACUGCGUCCGAUACUGGAUGGCUUGAAUUCGGGAGAGGGAUGCAGAAUUCCAGGUGUAGCGGUGAAAUGCGUAGAUAUCUGGAGGAAUACCGGUGGCGAAGGCGGCAUCCUGGACCGACAUUGACGCUGAGGAGCGAAAGCUAGGGGAGCAAACGGG